AGUCUGNAACCCGACUACACGAAGCUGGAAUCGCUAGUAAUCGCGAAUCAGAAUGUCGCGGUGAAUACGUUCCCGGGUCUUGUACACACCGCCCGUCACACCAUGGGAGUCGGGAAUGCCCGAAGUCAGUGACCCAACCUUUGGAGGGAGCUGCCGAAGACAGGUCUGAUAACUGGGGUGAAGUCGUAACAAGGUACC
This 198-nucleotide ribosomal RNA is filed under the name uncultured bacterium. RNAcentral describes it as "partial 16S ribosomal RNA". It matches the Rfam family "Bacterial small subunit ribosomal RNA", at positions 1302 to 1500 of the family's 1533-position model. The record is from RNAcentral.